RNAcentral lists this long non-coding RNA (3406 nucleotides) under Daucus carota (carrot). RNAcentral's name for it is "long non-coding RNA (DCAR_LNC003124)". Lineage: Eukaryota; Viridiplantae; Streptophyta; Magnoliopsida; Apiales; Apiaceae. The record is from RNAcentral.
GCUCAAUCCCUCCGUCUCUAUCCCUCCUCCCCAACCUCCAAGCUCUUCACUUGGACCGCAACAGACUCACUGGAAUGAUCCCCGAAUCCUUUGGAGCUUUCGCGGGAUCAUCCCCACCCGACCUCUACCUCUCCCACAAUCAACUCACAGGCUCUGUUCCAAAAUCUUUAGGUAACAUGAACUUCACAAGAAUCGAUUUAUCACGGAACCAACUUCAAGGCGACAUCUCAUUCUUAUUUGGCAAAACCAAGGCAUUGGAGAACGCUGAUUUCUCGAGGAACUUGUUCGAGUUUGAUAUCACGAAGCUCGAGUUUCCCGAGAGUCUGAUUGCUCUGGACUGGAACCAUAACAAAUUGCAGGGUAAUGUUCCAGUGGCAUUGACUACACUGGGGAACUUGCAGCAAUUCAAUGUCAGCUAUAACAGACUUUGUGGGCAGAUUCCGGUGGGAGGCAACUUACAGAGCUUCACUUACGCAGAGUACUUUCAUAACCGCUGCUUGUGUGGCGCUCCUUUGCCUGCGUGCUAGGCCUAAGGCUGGGCAGAAUCGUUUGAUUUUGAUCGCUUUAUGAUUAUGUAACUUAAAUGCGUUAUAAUUGUUUGUCGCAGAACAUGUUAUUGUAUUUUACAAAUAAAAUUUCUGAGAAACGAAAUUACAGCCUUUCGAUUUGGACAAAUGGUUUUAUUCCUACCCCAGAAACUGUUGCGGUACAUGGGGUCGUUGAUAUUUAUGAAGUCGAUUCCAGCAGUCGCGGCUUCUUGGUGCUGGAUAAGGUACCCACCCACCCAAUAAAUACCUUCUGGUUGGGGAGCCCUCGAUCUUGACUUGUCUGAAACUCAUAUCCGAGUUCUACAAAGAAUUCUAAACAUGCGGAAUUUUUGAAGUUAACUCGUCACCAUAAAUAGAAAAAGUGACUUAAAUAUGAUAGGUGGUGUUUGGUUCAUAGUUAAUAAAUCCGGUUAACGAGAAUCGGAAUCUCAAAUCGAUGUUUGAAUCACCUGUUAGGGAUAAAAUACGAGAUUCAAUCUUCUAAUACAAAGCAGACACACAACAAUAUAUUUGACGUGGAAACCCCACGUCCCAACUUGUAUUAUUAAUCAAAACAAUUAUUAAUAAUACAAUCAACCAAACUUGAACACUCAAGCCUACUACUUAAGCAUCCGCUCGCAAGCGAUACCUAAGUCUACAUCUUGAGCAUACCUGUUAUCAAACACAAUAUGACUAUGUAUAUAUAGCCAUCUCAAACUAGACAAAUCAGAAUCUAACUCUAACUCUGAAAUUCCUAACUGCAAUUAGAAUCCAAUUCUGAAAUCUUCAACUCAAAUCAGAAUCCAAUUCCAACUGGGUUAAUACCCAUCAAUCCUCUUCUAACUUUGUGACCAAAACAUAUCUUUUAUAAUAAUUGUCUAAACAUAUAAUUAUUAUCCUUACUAGCUUAUAGCCCGUGCAAGGCAUGAGAGCUUUUUAAUUAUUUAUAAACUUUUUAAAUAUAUUUUAAAUGAUGUGAAAAAAUUUAAUUUAUAAAUAAUAAAUUAAAAUUUUCAAUAAAAUAAAAUUCGAAAUUAUGAUUUGUUUGUAAGUUAGAACUUUGGUAAAUACAUCAUCACAGCCAUUAAUGGUUUCAAAUAAAUUAUUUUAAUCAAGCAAUUCCUUUUCUCGUAUGUAUCAUGCCAAAGUAUUAAAUUUUAUUAUAUUUUGAGUGGAAUACGUUAUGCCAACUCCUAUUAGAUUAUAUUAAUAAAUGUAUUUUAUAUUAAAAUUAUUAUAAUGUGAUUUAAAUAUUUUUCAAAAAAUUUAUAUGGUUCUAAAUUAAAAUUGAUAAACAUAAUUUGUUUUGAAUUAAGAAAAGGAAUCAUAAAUAUGCAAUAAGAAGGUAGAAUCUAUUUUGGAUUAAGAAAAAGUUUUUGUAUUUGUUCCUCACAUAAAUCCGGCUUAUUAAUUUUAAAAUAUAUUAUAAAAAAAUUGUGACGGUGAGAUUUAUAUGAUUCUACGAAUAAAACUGGUAGGAAAUAUUUAUUUAGGAUUAAAAAAAAUCAUAUACAUGUGAAAGACAGAAUUUGUUUUGGAUUCAGAAAAGGAAUUAUAAACAUGCAAGUAGAUAUCAGUUGCCUUCUAGAACAGAAUUUAAUUUUGUUCCAAUCUAACGGUGCUUAUUUGUUCAAUAUAAGAUCCAACGGAUGAUAAGCUUUUGGACCAGAGGACCAUGCGACCAAAUUAUCUCCCUUACGUUUAUUAUAUAUAAGUAUAUAAUAUAUUUUGGAUCACCAAAGUCCAUGUUACCUAACAUCACCUAUUUUGUAUCGUUCCCUCCACAUUCUUUGGAUACUCAUUCUCAUACCUUUCAUUUUCAUUCACAAUUCUCGUCUAACAUUCAAACGCCAAAAAUUUAAGACCAUAAUAACCCCUAUAGAUUCAUAAGGUUCAAAUGCCAUAGUUCCGUAAGAGAAAUGAACUGCUCAUUCCACUGAUACCCUUGCAAGUUGCAACAGUUGCCAUCCUCUCAUGUGUAUGACCAAAUUUGCGACUGUUUUCUUGCCCGAAAUUUAUUUCUCCUCGAAAUGAAGUCAUUUGUUAAAUUAUUAGUCGAUCAGUUCACACUGCAGGCAUCAAAAUAUCCAGAUACAGAUUCCAUGGCUGCAGUCGACAUGGAAAAAAUGCAUAUUAUAAAUGGAAACUCUUAGCAACUAUAUUUGCAAAUACUAGAAAAUGAAGCUCUUUGUUAUUUUCCUCUUUUACUUCUUCUCCCUGUCAUUACCUUCCUACUCAAAGAGGUGCAACUUAAAGGACGAAAAGGUCCUCUUAAAAAUCAAGCUAGCCCUUAAUAACCCAUACCAUUUGGCCUCAUGGAUCCCAGACACUGAGUGCUGCAACUGGUACUGUGUAGACUGUGAUCCCAGCACCAACCGCAUCAAUGCCCUCACCAUCUUCCAGGGUAAUAUUUCUGGACAAAUCCCGGCUGAAGUCGGAGACUUGCCUUUUCUAGAAAUACUAAUUUUCCGUCAUCUUACAAAUGUAACCGGAGAAAUACCAUCAGCCAUUGCCAAACUCUCCAACCUCCGGAUGGUCCGACUCAGCUGGACCAACCUCACAGGACCUGUGCCUUCAUUCUUUAGCCAGCUCAAAGCCUUGACAUAUCUAGACUUGUCGUUCAAUCAGCUCUCGGGCUCGAUCCCUCCCUCUCUAUCUCUCCUUCCCAACCUCGCUGCUCUUCACAUGGACCGCAACAGACUCACUGGAACAAUUCCUGAAUCCUUCGGAGCGUUCACUGGAUCAUCCCCGCCAGACCUCUUCCUCUCGCACAAUCAACUCACAGGCUCGGUCCCAAAAUCUCUAGGCAGUUUGAACUUCUCAAGAAUCGAUUUUUCUAGGAACACACUUGAAGGAGAUAUUUCUUUCUUGUUCGGGAG